UACGUAGGUGGCAAGCGUUGUCCGGAUUUAUUGGGUUUAAAGGGUGCGUAGGCGGCUUUGUAAGUCAGUGGUGAAAUAUGUCAGCUUAACUGAGAGGGUGCCAUUGAUACUGCAGAGCUUGAGUACAGAUGAGGUAGGCGGAAUUGACGGUGUAGCGGUGAAAUGCUUAGAUAUCGGCAAGAACACCUAUAGCGAAGGCAGCUUACUAGGCUGUAACUGACGCUGAGGCACGAAAGCUGGGGGAGCAAACAGG
RNAcentral lists this ribosomal RNA (253 nucleotides) under uncultured bacterium. Its description in RNAcentral is "partial 16S ribosomal RNA". It matches the Rfam family "Bacterial small subunit ribosomal RNA", at positions 524 to 776 of the family's 1533-position model. The record is from RNAcentral.